RNAcentral lists this ribosomal RNA (1191 nucleotides) under Pygoscelis adeliae (Adelie penguin). RNAcentral describes it as "partial 16S ribosomal RNA". It matches the Rfam family "Bacterial large subunit ribosomal RNA", at positions 1569 to 2925 of the family's 2925-position model. Lineage: Eukaryota; Metazoa; Chordata; Aves; Sphenisciformes; Spheniscidae. The record is from RNAcentral.
AUGUGCCGAAUCAAGAGCAAUUUAAAGGAGGUACAGCUCCUUUAAAAAAGAAUACAACCUCCCCUAGCGGAUAACUUACCCAACUGACCCUAGACUGUAGGCCCUCAAGCAGCCAUCAACAAAGAAUGCGUCAAAGCUCUACCCCAAAAAAAUUCAAAAACAACAGGACUCCCUUAUCUAUAACGGGCCAACCUAUAACAAUAGGAGAAUCAAUGCUAAAAUGAGUAAUCAGGGACCACCCUCUCAAGCGCAACGUUACAUCACCACAUUAUUAACAAGCCUCAAACUAAUACCCCCAACCCCAAACAAGCCAAAUAUUAAACUUGCCCUGUUAGCCCAACUCAGGAGCGCCCAUUAGAAAGAUCCAAAUCUGCAAAAGGAACUAGGCAACCUCAAGGCCCGACUGUUUACCAAAAACAUAGCCUUCAGCCAGCCAAGUAUUGGAGGUGAUGCCUGCCCAGUGACACUCUGUUCAACGGCCGCGGUAUCCUAACCGUGCGAAGGUAGCGCAAUCAAUUGUCCCAUAAAUCGAGACUUGUAUGAAUGGCUAAACGAGGUCUUAACUGUCUCUUGCAGACAAUCAAUGAAAUUGAUCUUCCUGUGCAAAAGCAGGAAUAAACCCAUAAGACGAGAAGACCCUGUGGAACUUAAAAAUCAGCGGCCACCCCACACAACCCAAAACCUACCAGGCCUACGACCCCAAGUAAAACACUGGCCCGCAUUUUUCGGUUGGGGCGACCUUGGAGAAAAGCAGAUCCUCCAAAAACAAGACCACACAUCCUGACCAAGAACAACCCCUCAACGUACCAACAGCAACCAGACCCAAUAUAAUUGAUCAAUGGACCAAGCUACCCCAGGGAUAACAGCGCAAUCCCCUCCAAGAGCCCAUAUCGACAAGGGGGUUUACGACCUCGAUGUUGGAUCAGGACACCCUAAUGGUGCAGCCGCUAUUAAGGGCUCGUUUGUUCAACGAUUAAAAGUCCUACGUGAUCUGAGUUCAGACCGGAGCAAUCCAGGUCGGUUUCUAUCUAUGACGGGCUUUUCCUAGUACGAAAGGACCGGAAAAGCAAGGCCCAUACUACAGGCAUGCCUUCCCUCUAAGUAGUGAACCCAACUAAACUACCAAACAGGACACACCAUUUUACCCAUCCUAGAAAAGGAUCGCUAGCGUGGCAGACUUGGUAAAUGCAA